This 496-nucleotide ribosomal RNA is filed under the name uncultured bacterium. RNAcentral's name for it is "partial 16S ribosomal RNA". It matches the Rfam family "Bacterial small subunit ribosomal RNA", at positions 28 to 506 of the family's 1533-position model. The record is from RNAcentral.
GAUGAACGCUGGCGGCGUGCCUAAUACAUGCAAGUCGAGCGAACGGACGAGAAGCUUGCUUCUCUGAUGUUAGCGGCGGACGGGUGAGUAACACGUGGAUAACCUACCUAUAAGACUGGGAUAACUUCGGGAAACCGUAGCUAAUACCGGAUAAUAUUUUGAACCGCAUGGUUCAAAAGUGAAAGACGGUCUUGCUGUCACUUAUAGAUGGAUCCGCGCUGCAUUAGCUAGUUGGUAAGGUAACGGCUUACCAAGGCAACGAUGCAUAGCCGACCUGAGAGGGGGAUCGGCCACACUGGAACUGAGACACGGUCCAGACUCCUACGGGAGGCAGCAGUAGGGAAUCUUCCGCAAUGGGCGAAAGCCUGACGGAGCAACGCCGCGUGAGUGAUGAAGGUCUGCGGAUCGUAAAACUCUGUUAUUAGGGAAGAACAUAUGUGUAAGUAACUGUGCACAUCUUGACGGUACCUAAGCAGAAAGCCACGGCUAACUACGU